Molecule: ribosomal RNA, 921 nt
Filed under: uncultured bacterium
Lineage: Bacteria
Description: bacterial SSU rRNA
Rfam family: Bacterial small subunit ribosomal RNA
Source: RNAcentral
AGUCGAACGGAAUCCAUGGUGUAGCAAUACACCGGAAGAUUUAGUGGCGAACGGGUGAGGAUCACGUGAGAAACCUGCCCCAGACUUUGGGAUAACAAUUGGAAACGAUUGCUAAUACCGAAUGACGUCGGAGAACCGCAUGGUUCACUGACGAAAGGAAAUCCGGUUUGGGAGGGUCUCGCGGCCUAUCAGCUUGUUGGUGGAGUAAUGGCCUACCAAGGCAACGACGGGUAGCUGGUCUGAGAGGAUGAUCAGCCACACUGGGACUGAGACACGGCCCAGACUCCUACGGGAGGCAGCAGUGGGGAAUCUUGCGCAAUGGGCGAAAGCCUGACGCAGCAACGCCGCGUGCGGGAUGAAGGCCUUCGGGCUGUAAACCGCUUUCAGCAGGAACGAAAAUGACGGUACCUGCAGAAGAAGGAGCGGCCAACUACGUGCCAGCAGCCGCGGUGACACGUAGGCUCCAAGCGUUGUCCGGAUUUAUUGGGCGUAAAGAGCUCGUAGGCGGUUUAGUAAGUCGGGUGUUAAAACUCUGGGCUCAACCCCGGAGAGGCCAUCCGAUACUGCUGUGACUUGAGUUCAGGAGGGGAGCGGGGAAUUCCUAGUGUAGCGGUGAAAUGCGCAGAUAUUAGGAGGAACACCGGUGGCGAAAGCGCCGCUCUGGACUGAAACUGACGCUGAGGAGCGAAAGCAUGGGUAGCAAACAGGAUUAGAUACCCUGGUAGUCCAUGCCGUAAACGGUGGGCACUAGGUGUGGGUUCCAACUAACGGGAUCCGCGCCGUCGCUACGCAUUAAGUGCCCGCCUGGGGAGUACGGUCGCAGACUAAACUCAAGGAAUUGACGGGGGCCCGCACAGCAGCGGAGCGUGUGCUUAAUUCGAUGCUACGCGAGAACCUUACCUGGGUUGACAUGUUUGGAAA